RNAcentral lists this ribosomal RNA (584 nucleotides) under Odorrana geminata (geminated cascade frog). RNAcentral's name for it is "partial 16S ribosomal RNA". It matches the Rfam family "Bacterial large subunit ribosomal RNA", at positions 1808 to 2619 of the family's 2925-position model. Lineage: Eukaryota; Metazoa; Chordata; Amphibia; Anura; Ranidae. The record is from RNAcentral.
CAAAAACAUCGCCUCUUGACUAAACAUAAGAGGUCCAGCCUGCCCAGUGACAAAAUUCAACGGCCGCGGUAUACUAACCGUGCGAAGGUAGCAUAAUCACUUGUUCUUUAAAUAGGGACUAGUAUCAACGGCAUCACGAGGGCUAUACUGUCUCCUCCCUCCAAUCAGUGAAACUGAUCUCCCCGUGAAGAAGCGGGGAUUUAACUAUAAGACGAGAAGACCCCAUGGAGCUUUAAACCCAACACAUACCCCACCCCCAAACAUCAACUUAACCUAAGGGGCCUAUGUGUUGGUUUUAGGCUGGGGGGGCCACGGAGUAAAAUCAAACCUCCACAACAAAUGGGCUAACACCCUUAUCUGUGAUUUUACAAAUCUAAGAAUCAUCAAAAUGAUGUAUAUGACCCGAUAAUUCGAUCAAUGAACCAAGUUACCCUGGGGAUAACAGCGCAAUCUACUUCGAGAGCUCUUAUCGACAAGUAGGUUUACGACCUCGAUGUUGGAUCAGGGUAUCCUAGUGGUGCAACCGCUACUAAUGGUUCGUUUGUUCAACGAUUAAAACCCUACGUGAUCUGAGUUCAGACCGG